Molecule: non-coding RNA, 4619 nt
Organism: Styela clava
Lineage: Eukaryota; Metazoa; Chordata; Ascidiacea; Stolidobranchia; Styelidae
Source: RefSeq, a predicted model, not a curated record
CUAUCUUAUAUUACAGUAUUAGCCGAGUUGAACUAUUUUUCUUGUACAUUGUUUGAAACAGACCAGUGAUAUAAUAUAUUUAGGUUUUGUUGAAAACCCGAAAGCGGAAUUGAAUUACGCAUUGAAUUACGUAAAAUCUCCAGGGGAGAGGUGACCAAACGGAAUACCGGUACAGGAACAUUUAUUUCUCCUAUUAUGAUAAAAUCUUCAAGGAGGCAAAAUGUCUUUUUCACCUGAAGAAAUCCACAAAAAGACUGAGAAUAUCCAUAAGACAAUCUCCGAGCAAUACAAUCCAACUUUAAAGAAUUUUCUAUUAGCUGGAAGACAAUAUGAAAAAGCAUUAUCAAAUGUAUCCAUUGCAUCAAGGCAAUACUUUGAUACAAUGGCAAAGUUGGGUUCAGUGGCAUCUGACAAUGAAAGUUCUAAAGAUCUAUGUGAAAGUACAAGACAAAUUUCUGAUACUCUGAGGCAAACGCAACUUAAUUUUGAUGAAACGGUGAAAUUUUUGAGUACGGAAGUUAUAUAUCCAUUGGAAAACAAGUUGGAAAAUGACAUGAAGUAUAUGCAAAACCUACAGAAGAAAUAUCUUAACGACUAUAGGUUAAGGACAGAGGAUCUUCAAAGGAUAACACAAACCCACAGGAAAAUGAAGCAAAAAAGUUUUAACGGAAAAAAAUCUUACAAAUAUGACGAAAAAGAGAAAGAGUUGGCAGAAACGGUUGCACAUAAACAGAGGUCGUUUGAACAAUUCCAACAUGAUCAUUUGAAGAAUGCUUUUAUUGAAGAAAGAAGAAGAUAUUGUUUCUUCGUUGAACAAAAUUGUGAACUUACUAAAAAGAAAAUCAUGUAUCAUCGAAAAGCCUUGGAGUCGUUAACAAGUCAAUUACCAAAGUGGGUGGAAUCAUGCGCUGAUGCUAAAAUUCUUCCAGAUCAAGCAGAUUUGUUGCUAGGCAACGUUAAAUCUGAUGAUAAUAAUUCUAUUUAUUCUAUUCCUGAACCACCGAGUGAGCCCGCUGCUCAGUAUAAUGGUGGAUAUGGAAAUGUAAUGCCGGGAAGAAUGAAUCCAACAAUGAACAGUCAUUUGCAAGAUGGUUACAAUGCACCUUUGCCACAACCCGUCAACUCUACCGGUCAUAAUGUAAUUCCAAGGGAAAACAGGAAAAGAGUUGUUGCUGUUUUCAGUCAUUCAGUUCCUGGAAAUCCCACCCAACUAGGUUUUGAAAAGGGUGAUGAAAUUAUAUUGAUGAUACCGAUGCCCAGAGACGGAUGGCAUUAUGGUGAAAAUGAUAGAACUAAACAACGUGGAUGGUUUCCUUUCUCCUACACAAGGUUGAAAGAACAACCCAGUGCAUUGGAGAAACCUCAGGAGCCAGUUGUUGGACACAUGCCUCUUCCACCUGCUGAUUAUAAUGAGCCUUCAGUUCAGCAGAAUGGAAAUGGAUGGCCUGCCCCUCCUCAAGAUCAUGGUGCUCCGGACUCCUAUCGACAGAUGAAGGAUCAAAUGCUAUCCGGUCGUCCACCAGCAGGCAGGCAAAGAGGAUACAACAACAACACUGGAUACUCAUACUAACUGUUAUAUUGCAUGUGGUGCUUUCUAAUGUACCUGCCUCUCAAAUUCUGAAAAUAUGAAUUUCUGAAGUUCGUCUGAAUCCUUUUGCGAAUGUACAACUUCGAAAAACGGAGAAUGGUCAAGAUGAAAAUGCAAAUGAUUUUUCAACUUUCAGAUGAAGACUAACAUGUCUAAACAUGUAUUAUUUGUUGCAUCCGAAUUAUUGUGCCUUCCAAUAUUUAUUAUCCCAAUAUCAACGAUACAAAAUUUUAUUAUCUAACGCUACAAUUGUUUAUGUCUAUGUAUGAUACUAUAUUUUCGAUACUCCCGUACCAGGUUAGAACUAAAAUAAGUAAAAUCUGUAUAAAAUUAUGGCCUGAUAUAAGUUUGCGACUGUCUGUGAUAGCCAAGCAAAGUUUCAGUCCCUUUACACAACUUGAUGUAGAAUGGUCAACGAAAUUAUUUACCUUCAUAUUGGUACACACACUUCUGAAGCGCCAUAUUUUCUUCUACAAGGUCUUUGCUAUCAUUUUCCUCUGUGCAAAAUGACUAUCAAAUACAGCACCAGACCAAUGUACUCAUACAUGAUUUGGCUCAUAAGCUUCGAACUUCCAUUCCACUUGUCAAGUUGUGCCUUGGUGAUGUCAUAAAGAAACAAAAACCGCAACUACAUCACUUCUAUGUACAGAAGCGUUUAUAAAACAUUACGGUAAAUGUAAUUUGUCGGUUCAGAUUUUCUCUGCAAAAUUUGUAAAUAUAUUGAAAAUAUUUGUUUGAAUAAGAGAGGAUGUUGCUACAGGUCAAAUCAAAUAACUUGUACAUUUAUCAGUAGUAAAACAAGUUGUAAAACGUUGUAUCUGAAAGUCACAUUCUACUGAUCGACAUCAAUAGACACAUCUGUGUAGUUGCAAGUAUUGAUCAUUUUAAAUUCAUCAUAAUGAAAUGUUAAACUAAGUUUGAAAUGUUGACAUGCACCACAUGCUUAUUGACUUUUAUUUAUAUAUUAUUUUUUUGAAUUGUGGAAUAUAGUAGUACAAAUGAUGGUGGAAGCCUCCCAACAAAAUAUGAUGGUUGGUUUUAUUAAGGCAGUUACAUAAAUUGUGACAUCACUCAGUAAAACAGAGUAUUUGGAAGUUGUGACAUCUCUCUUGCUCAAUAUUAAUAAAUUCAGUUGCGUUGAGUUAUAGCACUUCUCGACCUUUUGUUGGCUUAAAAGUUGAUUUAAGAAAGCUUGUUUUUUAAACCAAGUUUGAAAUAUUUACAUGCGCUACACCUACAUGCUUAUUCACUUUUAUUUAUGUUUCAUUUUUAUUGUUUUAAAAAAAUAUUAGUACUAAUGAUGGCCAGGCUAUGUCUCAUAUAUGUACAAAAUAUGCCUCCAUAAAGCAUUAAUUUACCAAUUAAUUCACUGUAUUUAUAUAUGUAUAUAUUUUGUUAGAUUCGGUAUAAGGUACAUGAUAUCACCAUUGAGCAAAUUUCCUGACGUAUUACUGUUAAUCACUUCUUGUGAAGGCUAAGAGCAUUAGAUUUGGGUAUCAAGUUUGGUAUACCUGAUUUUUCUAGGUUAGCAAUUCGUUAUGAAGUCUGCGGAAUUUAAAUUGAUGAUGUAUUUGAUUAAGACCUAUUUUCCUAAAAUAAAAUUAUGUGCCGAAUAUCUUUUAUCGUUUAUUUUUUUUUUCUAUCUCUAUCGUACUUGAGAAUGUUCCGGAAUAACGUACUAUCUGAAUGAACAUGACUUAGUUUUAACUGUGUUUUCUGAUUGGUGGUGAUUCAUUUUUUUAAUCUGUGACCAGCUCUUAUUUCCCUUUUUCGUAAUAAAGAUUUGUGCUGGAUCCUAUUCAAGUGGUGCAAUUAGGCAGAUAUUUUUUAUAACUUCAUUGCACAAUAAAAUCUUUUGAAAUAAACUAUAAGAAUAUAGACUAUAUAGCUCUCUAUCCAUAUAGCUCUAUUUGAAUAGUUGCAGAUCUGGUUCAAGUGUAUUCCUAUUGCUCUUUCAGAGCUAUUUUGAUAUCAUUAAACCGUAGUUUGUUCUGACUAAUAAUGAUAAUUUUAACUUCAAAACUUGUCCAAUAUGUCAACAGUUUUAAGAAUUUCCAUUCAUAAAAAUCUUACUUUAUUUUUACUAUGAAAAAUAUUUUUUUUUGCGUUGUUAUUGUAAAUAUUGUAACAAUUCUGCUUUUUUUUGACAAUUCAACUACUUCGAUUUUAAUCCUAUUUUGUUUUAGCUUACAAUGAACGAAACGUUUUGUGUAGUUUCUGUAUUCAAACAAUCUAAUGGGAAAAACAGUUUUGUGAAUUCUGGUUUAGAUAUUUAAACACUUGCAUUGUGUCUGCAUCUCAGUUGUACUUAUCUAUCUUUUAAGUCUUCAAAACAAAUGUAUGGACUUAUUAACGAUGUAACAUGAAGGAAUGAUAGAGUUUCAGUUGGAUAAUGUAUAUUAUCAAUGGAUUCUACGUACAUUUACAAGGUCUGACAAUGUUUUUUUGGUUAUGUUUAUAUUUGUGGUUGAUGGUUACAACACUCUGACUUUUAUAUCCAUACCUGAGAAUUGUUUAUUCAUGGUUGUUGGGUGAAAAUUGUAACUUGGCAUAGUAUUAGUUGUGAAUCACAUAGCAUUUUAAAUAAGAACACAGGGCUUCAUUCAAUAAAAAUCAUUGGAUCCCCCAUUUUUGUCCACACAUUAAGCGACAGGGUAGCUAAAAAAAACUGAAGAAUAUGCUACUUUUGAGAAUAAUUUAUGAUACUGAUAAGAAAAAUUUAUUCAUCAUUUGAACUUCUGUUUGUGUGUGAUUGUUCCCAAAAGUUUCGGCAAUCUAGGAGGCUUCGGAAAAAAUAUGUUCCAAAUGACCUUGGACUGGUUUAUAGGUCACCCUAUAUUAUUUGUAUUACUAUAGCAUCCGUUGCUCCCUUCGCCCAGAGUUAUUAUGAAAUCCCUCAAUCCUGACGGAUUUAUAUUGGUUUGCUGGUUUUAUUAUUUGCUUUAAGUCUAUAUUUGAUUGCAAUUGUUGUUUUCUUCAUUUGUAAAUACUUUAAAUUCUAAUCAAAAAUGGUAUUAUUCUCCUCAACGUA